UGCAGAGGUCCCAAGCGUUGUUCGGAUUCAUUGGGCGUAAAGGGUGCGUAGGCGGCGCGGUAAGUCGGGUGUGAAAUCUCGGAGCUUAACUCCGAAACUGCAUUCGAUACUGCCGUGCUUGAGGACUGGAGAGGAGACUGGAAUUUACGGUGUAGCGGUGAAAUGCGUAGAUAUCGUAAGGAAGACCAGUGGCGAAGGCGGGUCUCUGGACAGUUCCUGACGCUGAGGCACGAAGGCCAGGGGAGCAAACGGG
RNAcentral lists this ribosomal RNA (253 nucleotides) under uncultured bacterium. RNAcentral describes it as "partial 16S ribosomal RNA". It matches the Rfam family "Bacterial small subunit ribosomal RNA", at positions 524 to 776 of the family's 1533-position model. The record is from RNAcentral.